RNAcentral lists this transfer RNA (69 nucleotides) under Fenusa (Kaliofenusa) sp. 2 GYN-2022b. RNAcentral's name for it is "tRNA-Leu". Lineage: Eukaryota; Metazoa; Arthropoda; Insecta; Hymenoptera; Tenthredinidae. The record is from RNAcentral.
ACUAUUUUGGCAGAUAAUUGUAAUAAAUUUAGAAUUUAUUAAUAUGUAAUUUAGUUUACAUAAAUAGUU